UUAGUACUCCCUCCGUCCAAAAAUACUUGUCAUCAAAAUGGAUAAAAAGGAAUGUAUCUAGAACUAAAAUACGUCUAAAUACAUCUCUUUCUAUCCAUUUUGGUGACAAGUAUUUCCGGACGGAGGGAGUACAAG
Molecule: non-coding RNA, 135 nt
Organism: Triticum aestivum (bread wheat)
Lineage: Eukaryota; Viridiplantae; Streptophyta; Magnoliopsida; Poales; Poaceae
Source: Rfam